This 279-nucleotide unclassified non-coding RNA is filed under the name plant metagenome. RNAcentral's name for it is "partial contains small subunit ribosomal RNA, internal transcribed spacer 1, and 5.8S ribosomal RNA". The record is from RNAcentral.
UUUCCGUAGGUGAACCUGCGGAGGGAUCAUUACAGAGUUCAUGCUCUACCGGGUUGAUCUCAUACCUUAUGUUAUUAUUACUUUGUUGCUUUGGUGGGCCGUUAGGCUCAGGCCCCACUACCGGCCCUGGACGCUAAGCGCCCGCUAGAUGUGCCAAAACUUUGAAUUUUAGUGACGCCUGAGUCAUAUAUCAACGUCAAAACUCUUAACAACGGAUUCCUUGGUUAAGGCAUCGAAGAAGAAUGCAGCAGAUCGGAAAGCACACGACUGUACUCCAGU